GGGGCCGUAGUUCAGUUGGUUAGAAUGCCUGACUGUCGAUCAGGAGGUCGCGAGUUCGAGUCUCGUCGGCCCCGCCA
RNAcentral lists this transfer RNA (77 nucleotides) under bacterium. RNAcentral's name for it is "tRNA-Asp". It matches the Rfam family "tRNA". From Rfam's summary of the family: Transfer RNA (tRNA) molecules are approximately 80 nucleotides in length. Their secondary structure includes four short double-helical elements and three loops (D, anti-codon, and T loops). Further hydrogen bonds mediate the characteristic L-shaped molecular structure. tRNAs have two regions of fundamental functional importance: the anti-codon, which is responsible for specific mRNA codon recognition, and the 3' end, to which the tRNAs corresponding amino acid is attached (by aminoacyl-tRNA synthetases). tRNAs cope with the degeneracy of the genetic code in two manners: having more than one tRNA (with a specific anti-codon) for a particular amino acid; and 'wobble' base-pairing, i.e. permitting non-standard base-pairing at the 3rd anti-codon position. RNAcentral also lists the same sequence under 11 other names. The record is from RNAcentral.